RNAcentral lists this ribosomal RNA (472 nucleotides) under uncultured bacterium. RNAcentral's name for it is "bacterial SSU rRNA". It matches the Rfam family "Bacterial small subunit ribosomal RNA", at positions 355 to 825 of the family's 1533-position model. The record is from RNAcentral.
UCGAGAAUCUUCCGCAAUGGGCGAAAGCCUGACGGAGCGACGCCGCGUGUAGGAUGAAGGCCCUCGGGUUGUAAACUACUGUCACGGGUUAUGAAUGUGCAUAUGUUAACAGCGUGUGUAUUGACGUAAGCCCGAAAGGAAGCACCGGCUAACUCUGUGCCAGCAGCCGCGGUAAUACAGAGGGUGCAAACGUUGUUCGGAAUUACUGGGCAUAAAGCGCGCGUAGGCGGCGACGUAAGUGUAGGGUGAAAUCCCACGGCUCACCCGUGUGAAUUGCCCCGCAUACUGCGUUGCUUGAGUGUGGUAGGGGAGAGCGGAACUCCUGGUGGAGCGGUGAAAUGCGUAGAUAUCAGGAGGAACACCUGAGGCGAAGGCGGGUUGCUAGGCUGACACUGACGCUGAGGCGCGAAAGCUAGGGUAGCAAACGGGAUUAGAUACCCAAGUAGUCCCUGAGCGGGCUGGCAAGGCGCAU